RNAcentral lists this ribosomal RNA (399 nucleotides) under Triticum aestivum (bread wheat). RNAcentral describes it as "partial small subunit ribosomal RNA". The record is from RNAcentral. Lineage: Eukaryota; Viridiplantae; Streptophyta; Magnoliopsida; Poales; Poaceae.
AUGGAAGAUAGAAAGAGGAGGCCACGGAGUAUAACUCGUGUAGGGUGUAAAGCUAAAUUGGUGAUUGCAAGACAGGAGAAAACAUCUCAGUGGUUUGUGAAGGAUUUCAUCGAUGAACACAACCAUCCUCUAGCCCCACGCGAUCUGUCGUGUCUUUUGCGUUCACACAGAAGAAUUAGCGAUGAGCAAAAAGCGAACAUUGCAGACAUGGAAAAAUCUGGAAUCAGAAAACACCAUAUUAUGGAUAUUAUGUGCAUGCAAUAUGGUGGAUAUGAUGAGGUUGGAUGCAUUAUGAUAGACGUUUACAAUUUUUGCCAUGCUAACAAGCAGGGAUCAAUUGCUUCCAGGGAUGCUCAAACAGUGUUCAAUCACAUGGUGACGAGGCAAGAUUCAGAUUGA